This 836-nucleotide ribosomal RNA is filed under the name Halomonas sp. RNAcentral's name for it is "bacterial SSU rRNA". It matches the Rfam family "Bacterial small subunit ribosomal RNA", at positions 89 to 932 of the family's 1533-position model. Lineage: Bacteria; Pseudomonadati; Pseudomonadota; Gammaproteobacteria; Oceanospirillales; Halomonadaceae. The record is from RNAcentral.
UGACGAGCGGCGGACGGGUGAGUAAUGCAUAGGAAUCUGCCCGAUAGUGGGGGAUAACCUGGGGAAACCCAGGCUAAUACCGCAUACGUCCUACGGGAGAAAGGGGGCUUUCGGCUCCCGCUAUUGGAUGAGCCUAUGUCGGAUUAGCUAGUUGGUGAGGUAAUGGCUCACCAAGGCGACGAUCCGUAGCUGGUCUGAGAGGAUGAUCAGCCACAUCGGGACUGAGACACGGCCCGAACUCCUACGGGAGGCAGCAGUGGGGAAUAUUGGACAAUGGGGGCAACCCUGAUCCAGCCAUGCCGCGUGUGUGAAGAAGGCCUUAGGGUUGUAAAGCACUUUCAGCGAGGAAGAACGCCUAGUGGUUAAUACCCAUUAGGAAAGACAUCACUCGCAGAAGAAGCACCGGCUAACUCCGUGCCAGCAGCCGCGGUAAUACGGAGGGUGCAAGCGUUAAUCGGAAUUACUGGGCGUAAAGCGCGCGUAGGUGGCUUUAUAAGCCGGUUGUGAAAGCCCCGGGCUCAACCUGGGAACGGCAUCCGGAACUGUGAGGCUAGAGUACAGGAGAGGAAGGUAGAAUUCCCGGUGUAGCGGUGAAAUGCGUAGAGAUCGGGAGGAAUACCAGUGGCGAAGGCGGCCUUCUGGACUGAUACUGACACUGAGGUGCGAAAGCGUGGGUAGCAAACAGGAUUAGAUACCCUGGUAGUCCACGCCGUAAACGAUGUCGACCAGCCGUUGGGUGCCUAGAGCACUUUGUGGCGAAGAACGCGAAAGCAACCGCCGGGGGAGACGGCCGCAAGGGUAAAACCAAAGGAAAGGACGGGGGCCCGCACAACCGG